UGUAGCCUUGAGGAAGUAGCCAUUACCUU
RNAcentral lists this non-coding RNA (29 nucleotides) under Rattus norvegicus (Norway rat). The record is from RNAcentral. Lineage: Eukaryota; Metazoa; Chordata; Mammalia; Rodentia; Muridae.